GCGCGGGAAGCAAAUAGAUCUCUUCGGAGUGACGUUUGUGGAACGAGCGGCGGACGGGUGAGUAACACGUGGGCAACCUACCUGUAAGACUGGGAUAACUCCGGGAAACCGGGGCUAAUACCGGAUAAUACUUUGCUUCGCAUGAAGGAAAGUUGAAAGAUGGCUUCUGGCUAUCACUUACAGAUGGGCCCGCGGCGCAUUAGCUAGUUGGUGAGGUAAGAGCUCACCAAGGCAACGAUGCGUAGCCGACCUGAGAGGGUGAUCGGCCACACUGGGACUGAGACACGGCCCAGACUCCUACGGGAGGCAGCAGUAGGGAAUCUUCCGCAAUGGACGAAAGUCUGACGGAGCAACGCCGCGUGAACGAAGAAGGUUUUCGGAUCGUAAAGUUCUGUUGUUAGGGAAGAACAAGUACCGUUCAAACAGGGCGGUACCUUGACGGUACCUAUCGAGGAAGCCCCGGCUAACUACGUGCCAGCAGCCGCGGUAAUACGUAGGGGGCAAGCGUUGUCCGGAAUUAUUGGGCGUAAAGCGCGCGUAGGCGGUUUCUUAAGUCUGAUGUGAAAUCUUGCGGCUCAACCGCAAGCGGUCAUUGGAAACUGGGGAACUUGAGUACAGAAGAGGAGAGCGG
Molecule: ribosomal RNA, 631 nt
Filed under: Gracilibacillus sp. YIM 94020
Lineage: Bacteria; Bacillati; Bacillota; Bacilli; Caryophanales; Bacillaceae
Description: bacterial SSU rRNA
Rfam family: Bacterial small subunit ribosomal RNA
Source: RNAcentral